AACUAUGGCCAUACUACUCUGAACGUGCGGGAUCUCGUCUGAUAUUGGAAGCUAAGCAGGGUCAGGCCUGGUUAGUACUUGGGUGGGAGACCGUCUGGGAAUACCUGGUGCUGUAGGCA
Molecule: ribosomal RNA, 119 nt
Organism: Delphinapterus leucas (beluga whale)
Lineage: Eukaryota; Metazoa; Chordata; Mammalia; Artiodactyla; Monodontidae
Source: Ensembl